UAAAUGGAAGCCAAAAGGAGGCGUCUAGCUGUUAAUUAGAAGAUUGUGAACAGAAUCACCCAUUUAG
RNAcentral lists this transfer RNA (67 nucleotides) under Mauritia arabica. Its description in RNAcentral is "tRNA-Asn". The record is from RNAcentral. Lineage: Eukaryota; Metazoa; Mollusca; Gastropoda; Littorinimorpha; Cypraeidae.